Non-coding RNA from Gossypium hirsutum (cotton), 107 nucleotides. NCBI's taxonomy places the organism in Eukaryota, Viridiplantae, Streptophyta, Magnoliopsida, Malvales, Malvaceae. The record is from Rfam.
AACCCAUAGUGAGGGCACCUUUUCAAUAAGUCAUUAUACCUCUCCAAUGCAUCAUAAAGGGUCUUUAAAUCCAUUUGCACGAAGGAAGAGAUAUAAUUCCUCAGCUU